AUAUCAUAACUAUAGGUAAUAAAUAUUAAACCAAUGUAAAAUGGUAGUCUUUAUUAAUUAGAGGAACUCGCUCUAUAAUCGUAAACACCCGAUAAAUUUCACUAUAUACCAUAAAGCCUAUAUACCGCCGUUAAUAGAAAUACUUAAAACAAUAAUUCAAGAAUUCACACAAAUAAAAAUCAGGUCAAGGUGUAGCCCAUAUUAUAAGAAAGAGUAAGUUACACAUAAAAGAAACUUAAGGACUGUAAUCGAAAACUAACCAAGAAAAAGAAUCUAUAUGUAC
This 283-nucleotide ribosomal RNA is filed under the name Pholcus maturata. RNAcentral describes it as "partial 12S ribosomal RNA". The record is from RNAcentral. Lineage: Eukaryota; Metazoa; Arthropoda; Arachnida; Araneae; Pholcidae.